Molecule: transfer RNA, 95 nt
Filed under: Rickettsiella grylli
Lineage: Bacteria; Pseudomonadati; Pseudomonadota; Gammaproteobacteria; Legionellales; Coxiellaceae
Description: tRNA-Ser
Rfam family: tRNA
About the family: Transfer RNA (tRNA) molecules are approximately 80 nucleotides in length. Their secondary structure includes four short double-helical elements and three loops (D, anti-codon, and T loops). Further hydrogen bonds mediate the characteristic L-shaped molecular structure. tRNAs have two regions of fundamental functional importance: the anti-codon, which is responsible for specific mRNA codon recognition, and the 3' end, to which the tRNAs corresponding amino acid is attached (by aminoacyl-tRNA synthetases). tRNAs cope with the degeneracy of the genetic code in two manners: having more than one tRNA (with a specific anti-codon) for a particular amino acid; and 'wobble' base-pairing, i.e. permitting non-standard base-pairing at the 3rd anti-codon position.
Source: RNAcentral
UGGAGAGGUACCAAAGCGGUCAUAAUGGCGCCGACUCGAAAUCGGAUGGGGGUUUUAAAAUCCCACGUGGGUUCGAAUCCCACCCUCUCCGCCAU